RNAcentral lists this ribosomal RNA (435 nucleotides) under uncultured bacterium. Its description in RNAcentral is "bacterial SSU rRNA". It matches the Rfam family "Bacterial small subunit ribosomal RNA", at positions 355 to 796 of the family's 1533-position model. The record is from RNAcentral.
UCGAGGAUCUUCGGCAAUGGGCGCAAGCCCGACCGAGCGACGCCGCGUGUGCGACGAAGGCCUUCGGGUUGUAAAGCACUGUCGAGGGGGAGAAAAGCCCGCAAGGGUGUGAUCUAUCCCUGGAGGAAGCACGGGCUAAGUUCGUGCCAGCAGCCGCGGUAAGACGAACCGUGCGAACGUUGUUCGGAAUCACUGGGCUUAAAGGGCGCGUAGGCGGGCUGGAAAGUCCGUGGUGAAAUCCCCCGGCCCAACCGGGGAACGGCCUCGGAUACUUUCGGCCUGGAGGCGGGUAGGGGCGAGCGGAACUGUGGGUGGAGCGGUGAAAUGCGUUGAGAUCCACAGGAACUCCGGUGGCGAAGGCGGCUCGCUGGACCCGAUCUGACGCUGAGGCGCGAAAGCCAGGGGAGCGAACGGGAUUAGAUACCCCCGUAGUCC